AUACCGGGCCUUUUUGGGCUUGGUAAUUGGAAUGAGGGAGAGUUAAACGGACCAUCGAGUAUCCAUUGGAGGGCAGGUCUGGUGCCAGCAGCUGCGGUAAUACCAGCUCCAAUAGCGUAUAUUAAAGUUGUUGCAGUUAAAAAGCUCGUAGUUGGACUUGUGUGCGCUGUCCGCGGGUGGCCUGCGCCCAAAAGGGCGUUUCGGUUCGGCCCCGGUGGCGCCUUGAAAUCUGCAGCUGGGGGGACGUUGGCCUUAACUGGUCGGCGACCGCACGCCGGCUGCUCGGUUACUGUGAGAAAAUUAGAGUGUUCAAGGCAGGCAUUGGGUGCAAUUGAAUACAUUAGCAUGGAAUAAUAAAAUAUGGCUCCUGCCGUAUUUUGUUGGUUUUGACUGGUGGGAGUAAUGAUUGAUAGGGACGGUUGGGGGUGCUAGUAUUGAGCGGCCAGAGGUGAAAUUCAUGGAUUCGCUCAAGACUAACUUAUGCGAAAGCAUUCACCAAGGACGUCCUCUUUAAUCAAGAACGAAAGUUGGGGGAUCGAAGACGAUCAGAUACCGUCGUAGUCUCAACCAUAAACUAUGUCGACUUGGGAUCGGCGGUAGUUUUUUCAUUAAGACACUGUCGGGACCACGGGAGAAAUCAAAGUGUCUGGACUCUGGGGGAAGUAUGGUCGCAAGGCUGAAACUUGAAGGAAUUGACGGAAGGGCACCACCAGGAGUGGAGCCUGCGGCUUAAUUUGACCCAACACGGGGAAACUUACCAGGUCCAGAGAUGUAGAGGAUUGACAGAUUGACGCUCUUUCUUGAUCACUUCGGUGGUGGUGCAUGGCCGUUCUUAGUUGGUGGAGUGAUUUGUCUGGUUAAUUCCGUUAACGAACGAGACCUCAGCCUGCUAGUGUAGUCGGCUGGAUUGCCUUUGGCGAUCCGUGAUUUCGACUUCUUAGAGGGACAAUCGACGCGCAGUCGAUGGAAGUUUGAGGCAAUAACAGGUCUGUGAUGCCCUUAGAUGUUCUGGGCCGCACGCGCGCUACACUGCUGGGCUCAGCGAGUUUUACUUGGCCGAGAGGCCCGGUUAAUCUUGUGAAAUCCCAGCGUGCUUGGGCUCGCCUCCUGCAACUGGAGGCGCCAACGAGGAAUUCCUAGUAGACGCAGGUCAUCAACCUGCAUCGAUUACGUCCCUGCCCUUUGUACACACCGCCCGUCGUUCCAUAAGAGUGAGGCAUCCGGUGAAUUCUCGGGAGAGCCUGGGCGUGGCCAGCAAUGGUCUGCUCGGGUUUGAACUUGCAUAAACUUGGUGCCUAUGAUUAGGGAAAAGUCGUAACAAGGUUUCCGUAGGAACCUGCGGAAG
Molecule: ribosomal RNA, 1345 nt
Filed under: metagenome
Description: SSU rRNA
Rfam family: Eukaryotic small subunit ribosomal RNA
Source: RNAcentral